GAUUUUGAUGUUAUUGGAUUCAUAUCCCUGUCUUGAAUCUCACGCAUAAUAUAUACAAGUAUACAAGCAGACCUUUGAUAGCCGUCCCCAUACAAAGACAUGGGUUUCUCUAAGCAUUGCUUCUUCUAUCUAUGGCUCUUGGUUUCUUUCCAAGCUCACAUCUCCUCCUCCAUACAUGCUCGACCUCUUUCAGUUCAAGAUCAACAAAGGUAUGUGAAAGUGUUGGCCACACUCGGAGUCGUUUGUAGGUGCUGCGAUGGUGCCAGAGGUGAAUGUAAGAGUACAUGGGACUCCUCCUGCCUAAAUCUCGAUUGUAGACCUUGGAAAUUGCAUUGAUUUUAUGUGGGCUAUUGGAUUUUGUAAGUUCGGAUGUAUGGAUUACUUAUUUGUACUAGACUCUUUUAAAACCAUCUGAUAUGUUUGUUUUGUGA
Long non-coding RNA from Magnolia sinica, 431 nucleotides. RefSeq lists it as uncharacterized. NCBI's taxonomy places the organism in Eukaryota, Viridiplantae, Streptophyta, Magnoliopsida, Magnoliales, Magnoliaceae. The record is from RefSeq and is a predicted model, not a curated record. The transcript has 2 exons.